This 554-nucleotide ribosomal RNA is filed under the name uncultured bacterium. RNAcentral's name for it is "bacterial SSU rRNA". It matches the Rfam family "Bacterial small subunit ribosomal RNA", at positions 202 to 775 of the family's 1533-position model. The record is from RNAcentral.
AAAAGCUCCGGCAGUAUAGGAUGGUCCCGCGUCUGAUUAGCUGGUUGGCGGGGUAACGGCCCACCAAGGCGACGAUCAGUAGCCGGCUUGAGAGAGUGGACGGCCACAUUGGGACUGAGACACGGCCCAAACUCCUACGGGAGGCAGCAGUGGGGAAUAUUGCACAAUGGGGGAAACCCUGAUGCAGCGACGCCGCGUGAGUGAAGAAGUAUUUCGGUAUGUAAAGCUCUAUCAGCAGGGAAGAAAAAAGACGGUACCUGACUAAGAAGCCCCGGCUAACUACGUGCCAGCAGCCGCGGUAAUACGUAGGGGGCAAGCGUUAUCCGGAAUUACUGGGUGUAAAGGGUGCGUAGGUGGCAUGGUAAGUCAGAAGUGAAAGCCCGGGGCUUAACCCCGGGACUGCUUUUGAAACUGUCAUGCUGGAGUGCAGGAGAGGUAAGCGGAAUUCCUAGUGUAGCGGUGAAAUGCGUAGAUAUUAGGAGGAACACCAGUGGCGAAGGCGGCUUACUGGACUGUCACUGACACUGAUGCACGAAAGCGUGGGGAGCAAACAG